RNAcentral lists this ribosomal RNA (520 nucleotides) under uncultured Ambispora. RNAcentral describes it as "SSU rRNA". It matches the Rfam family "Eukaryotic small subunit ribosomal RNA", at positions 569 to 1097 of the family's 1831-position model. Lineage: Eukaryota; Fungi; Glomeromycota; Glomeromycetes; Archaeosporales; Ambisporaceae. The record is from RNAcentral.
AGCAGCCGCGGUAAUUCCAGCUCCAAUAGCGUAUAUUAAAGUUGUUGCAGUUAAAAGCUCGUAGUUGAAUUUUGGGUCUGGGCGGGCGGUCCACCUCCGGUGAGUACUGUUCCGACGCCGGGCCUAUCCUUCUGGUGAGUCGGCAUGCCCUUCGCUGGGUGUGUCGGGGAACCAGGACCAUUACCUUGAAAAAUUAGAGUGUUCAAAGCAGGCAUUUGCUCGAAUACAUUAGCAUGGAAUAAUGAAAUAGGACGCGUGGUACUAUUUUGUGGUUUCUAGGACCGCCGUAAUGAUUAAUAGGGAUAGUUGGGGGCAUUAGUAUUCAAUUGUCAGAGGUGAAAUUCUUGGAUUUAUUGAAGACUAACUUCUGCGAAAGCAUUUGCCAAGGAUGUUUUCAUUAAUCAAGAACGAAAGUUAGGGAUCGAAGACGAUCAGAUACCGUCGUAGUCUACACGUAAACUAUGCCGACUAGGAAUCGGGCGAUGUUAUUUUAACGACUCGCCCGGCGCCUUAUGGGAAA